AGAGUUUGAUCAUGGCUCAGGACGAACGCUGGCGGCGUGCUUAACACAUGCAAGUGGUGCGACGAACCAGGGCUUGCCCUGGGGCCAAGCCGCGAACGGGUGAGUAACACGUGAGUAACCUGCCCCGAUGACCGGGACAACCCGAGGAAACUCGGGCUAAUACCGGAUGUGGCGCACAGGCGUAAGCCUGUUCGCUAAAGGAAGCUUCGGCCUCCGCAUUGGGAGGGGCUCGCGGCCCAUUAGCUUGUUGGUGGGGUCAUGGCCUACCAAGGCGACGAUGGGUAGCUGGUCUGAGAGGACGAUCAGCCACACUGGGACUGAGACACGGCCCAGACUCCUACGGGAGGCAGCAGUGGGGAAUCUUGCGCAAUGCGCGAAAGCGUGACGCAGCAACGCCGCGUGGGGGAAGACGGCCUUCGGGUUGUAAACCCCUUUCAGGAGGGACGAAGGUUCACCGGUGAAUAGCCGUGUGGAUUGACGGUACCUCCAGAAGAAGCUCCGGCUAACUACGUGCCAGCAGCCGCGGUAAUACGUAGGGGGCAAGCGUUGUCCGGAAUCAUUGGGCGUAAAGCGCGCGUAGGCGGCCCUGUAAGUCCGCUGUGAAAGUCAAAGGCUCAACCUUUGAAUGCCGGUGGAUACUGCAGGGCUAGAGUCCGGAAGAGGCGAGUGGAAUUCCUGGUGUAGCGGUGGAAUGCGCAGAUAUCAGGAGGAACACCAAUAGCGAAGGCAGCUCGCUGGGACGGUACUGACGCUAAGGCGCGAAAGCGUGGGGAGCGAACAGGAUUAGAUACCCUAGUAGUCC
RNAcentral lists this ribosomal RNA (802 nucleotides) under uncultured bacterium. RNAcentral's name for it is "bacterial SSU rRNA". It matches the Rfam family "Bacterial small subunit ribosomal RNA", at positions 8 to 796 of the family's 1533-position model. The record is from RNAcentral.